ACCCGUUGAUCCUGCGGGAGGUUGCUGCUAUCGGGAUCCGAUUUAGCCAUGCAAGUUUGCUCUCGUUUACGGGAGCGGCAGACUGCUCAGUAACACGUCGAUAAUCUGCCCUUGGGUUUGGGAUAACUUCGGGAAACUGAAGAUAAUACCGAAUAUUGGAAAUAUACUGGAAUGUUUUUUCCUUUAAAGUUUCGACGCCCGAGGAUGAGUUGGCGGUGGAUUAGGUUGUUGGCGGGGUAAAGGCCCACCAAGCCGAAGAUCCAUAGGGGCCUUGAGAGAGGUAGCCUCGAGAAGGGUACUGAGACACUGACCCUAGCCCUACGGGGUGCAGCAGGCGCGAAACCUUUACAAUGCACGCAAGUGUGAUAAGGGGAUCCCGAGUGCUUUACUUAUUGUAAGGCCUUUGCCAAGAGUAAAUAUCUUGGCGAAUAAGUGGUGGGCAAGACUGGUGCCAGCCGCCGCGGUAACACCAGCGCCACAAGUGGUGACCGGAAUUAUUGGGCCUAAAGCGUUCGUAGCUGGUUUAGUAAAUCUUCUGUGAAAUCGUUUAGCUUAACUAAACGGCGUGCAAAAGACACUGCUAAACUCGAGACUGGGAGAGGUUAGAAGUAUUCUUGGGGAAGCAGUAAAAUGCUGUAAUCCCAAGAGGACUACCUGUGGCGAAGGCGUCUAACCAGAACAGAUCUGACAGUGAGGAACGAAAGCUGGGGGAGCGAACCGGAUUAGAUACCCGAGUAGUCCCAGCCGUAAACGCUGCGAGCCAGGUGUUGCACAUUUCUCGUAAAUGUGCAGUGUCGAAAUGAAGAUGUUAAGCUCGCCGCCUGGGAAGUACGGUCGCAAGACUGAAACUUAAAGGAAUUGGCGGGGGAGCACUACAAGGGGUGCGGCGUGCGGUUUAAUCUAACUCAACGCAGAGAAUCUCACCAAAGGCGACGGCAGGAUGAAAGUCAGGCUAACGGUCUUACUUGACAAGCCGAGAGGUGGUGCAUGGCCGCCGUCAGCUCGUGCUGUGAGGUGUCCUCUUAAGUGAGGUAACGAGCGAGACCUGUAUUCAUAAUUGCUAACGACUUCUUUGAAGGAUCGAGCACAAUAUGAAAACUGCCUUGGAAACAAGGAGGAAGGUGCAGGCUACGGUAGGUCUGUAUGCCCCGAAUCCUUUGGGCUACACGCGCGCAACAAUGGUAAGGACAAUAGGAUAGGACCCCGAGAGGGGGAUUUAAACCUCUAAACCUUACCUUAGUUCAGAUUGAGGGCUGUAACUCGCCCUCAUGGCGCUGGAAUCCCUAGUAAUCGGAUGUCAUCAUCGUCCGGUGAAUAAGUCCCUGCUCCUUGCACACACUGCCCGUCAAACCAACCGAGCAGGUUCUUGGUGAGGGUUAGCUUUAUUGGUUAAUUCGAAUCAAGGAUCAGUGAGGUGGGUUAAGUCGUCACAAGGUA
RNAcentral lists this ribosomal RNA (1437 nucleotides) under metagenome. RNAcentral describes it as "bacterial SSU rRNA". It matches the Rfam family "Archaeal small subunit ribosomal RNA". The record is from RNAcentral.